This is a microRNA precursor of Apteryx haastii (Great spotted kiwi), 97 nucleotides long. The record is from Ensembl. NCBI's taxonomy places the organism in Eukaryota, Metazoa, Chordata, Aves, Apterygiformes, Apterygidae.
AAGUCACCUGCUCCUCAGAUCAGAAGGUGAUUGUGGCUUUGAGUAGAUAUUAAGCAGCCACAGCACUGCCUGGUCAGAAAGAGCAAGUGUACUAGCC